Molecule: RNA transcript, 1109 nt
Organism: Zea mays
Lineage: Eukaryota; Viridiplantae; Streptophyta; Magnoliopsida; Poales; Poaceae
Exons: 5
Source: RefSeq, a predicted model, not a curated record
UCAAAAACAUUUGUGUGGGGGAGCUGUCUUUAUUCUUGUUUAUUUAUCAGUUCAAACAGAUUGUCAUGAACAUGCUUGAUUGCCUUCAUUUGACAGAGAAACCAAUAGUAUAUAAAAUCAUGGGCAGAGGUCCCCGAACCAUGGUGUACUAUAGUGGGCCUUUGUACUCUGUAUCUAAUCAUCUAACCUUAGAUGCAGGCAUUAGUUUAUGCGUUGAUACCGUCAUACGUCGUUGUUUCAUGACAAUGCCCAUCAAGCAGACAAAGAGUGACGACGACACUAGCUCACAUAUGAAGUGCAAAGGGUUUUCUUCCUUCUUGCAUGUUGGUGUAAAGAGCAGGUAAACCUGCUUGCGCGAUGGUACAAGCAGCAUCAACAGAGACUCUGGAACUGUUGUGGUAUAAUGGGCAGACAAUGGAAAUGUUGUUCACCUUCAAUUCUCAGAGGACCUACCACUAUUGUAUUGUCAAUUGUUUUGCUGUUUGGAGACCACAAGGCUUGACUCAGUAAACACCACUAUUUGACCGAGGUGAAUCUAGAGGCCGCCACUAAAUGGCUCCACGAAUAAAUGGGUGUGAAGUCUUGGAUGCUUGGUUUGCUCACAGGGAUCAGGCUGUGGAGUACGGAGUUCACAAGAUCUAGGAGAUCAACAACCUCGAGGAUGGGAGGAUAUAGAAGGAGAAAAUGUCUUCAGCCAGCAAUAGGGUGAGAACAGACUUGCCGAACAUGAAGGAAGGGUUGCAGCUGGAGCCUGACAAUAGCGGUGUUCUAAGUUGUGGAUACUGGACACUGCUGUUGGAAUACUAGAGCGACAUGAUGUUGUAAGGGAUCUAGAGAGGAAGCUUCUGGAGUUGCAAUAGGUGAUGCCUUCUUAUUUACUCCUUUUUUGGCACAAGGUCUUCUCUGUAUCAUAUAGUAUGUUACAAAAGCUAUGGCCAUUCAAUGAACAUAGUUCCCCUCAAUAUGCAACUUCAAGUGCAGCGCUACAAGAUUCUACUUCAUAGAGCUGUAUACAUGAAAACAAACAACUCCAGAACAUGUCUUCUCUCCCAAGCUUCAUGGUAGAUACCCAUGUACAAUUCUAAUUGCAGUGACAUGUUACAAAUUUC